CUACGUAUGUCGCAAGCGUUAUCCGGAAUUAUUGGGCGUAAAGCGAGUCUAGGCGGCUUGUUAAGUCAGAUGUGAAAAUGCGGGGCUCAACUCCGUAUUGCGUUUGAAACUGGCAGGCUAGAGUACUGGAGAGGUGGGCGGAACUACAAGUGUAGAGGUGAAAUUCGUAGAUAUUUGUAGGAAUGCCGAUAGUGAAGACAGCUCACUGGACAGAUACUGACGCUAAAGCUCGAAAGCGUGGGGAGCGAACAGGAUUAGAAACCCCAGUAGUCC
This 273-nucleotide ribosomal RNA is filed under the name uncultured bacterium. RNAcentral's name for it is "partial 16S ribosomal RNA". It matches the Rfam family "Bacterial small subunit ribosomal RNA", at positions 523 to 796 of the family's 1533-position model. The record is from RNAcentral.